AACGAACGCUGGCGGCAUGCCUAAUACAUGCAAGUCGAACGAGAUCUUCGGAUCUAGUGGCGCACGGGUGCGUAACGCGUGGGAAUCUGCCCUUGGGUUCGGAAUAACUUCUGGAAACGGAAGCUAAUACCGGAUGAUGACGUAAGUCCAAAGAUUUAUCGCCCAAGGAUGAGCCCGCGUAGGAUUAGCUAGUUGGUGGGGUAAAGGCCCACCAAGGCGACGAUCCUUAGCUGGUCUGAGAGGAUGAUCAGCCACACUGGGACUGAGACACGGCCCAGACUCCUACGGGAGGCAGCAGUAGGGAAUAUUGGACAAUGGGCGAAAGCCUGAUCCAGCAAUGCCGCGUGAGUGAUGAAGGCCUUAGGGUUGUAAAGCUCUUUUACCCGGGAUGAUAAUGACAGUACCGGGAGAAUAAGCUCCGGCUAACUCCGUGCCAGCCGCCGCCGUAA
Molecule: ribosomal RNA, 449 nt
Filed under: uncultured bacterium
Lineage: Bacteria
Description: partial 16S ribosomal RNA
Rfam family: Bacterial small subunit ribosomal RNA
Source: RNAcentral